AGCAGCCGCGGUAAUUCCAGCUCCAAUAGCGUAUAUUAAAGUUGUUGCAGUUAAAAAGCUCGUAGUUGAAUUUCGGGGUCAGUAGGCUGGUCGUGCCACUGGUAUGCACUGGUCUCACUGAUUCCUCCUUCCUGAUGAACCGUAAUGCCAUUAAUUUGGUGUUGCGGGGAAUCUGGACUGUUACUUUGAAAAAUUAGAGUGUUUAAAGCAGGCUAACGCUUGAAUACAUUAGCAUGGAAUAAUGGAAUAGGACGGUCGAUCCUAUUUUGUUGGUUUCUAGGAUUGACGUAAUGAUUAAUAGGGAUAGUUGGGGGCAUUAGUACUCAAUUGUCAGAGGUGAAAUUCUUGGAUUUAUUGAAGACUAACUACUGCGAAAGCAUUUGCCAAGGAUGUUUUCAUUAAUCAAGAACGAAAGUUAGGGGAUCGAAGACGAUCAGAUACCGUCGUAGUCUUAACCAUAAACUAUGCCGACUAGGGAUCGGAUGAUGUUAAUUUUUAAUGA
RNAcentral lists this ribosomal RNA (502 nucleotides) under uncultured Glomus. RNAcentral's name for it is "SSU rRNA". It matches the Rfam family "Eukaryotic small subunit ribosomal RNA", at positions 569 to 1074 of the family's 1831-position model. Lineage: Eukaryota; Fungi; Glomeromycota; Glomeromycetes; Glomerales; Glomeraceae. The record is from RNAcentral.